CCUAUAAGACUGGGAUAACUUCGGGAAACCGGAGCUAAUGCCGGAUAACAUUUGGAACCGCAUGGUUCUAAAGUAAAAGAUGGUUUUGCUAUCACUUAUAGAUGGACCCGCGCCGUAUUAGCUAGUUGGUAAGGUAACGGCUUACCAAGGCAACGAUACGUAGCCGACCUGAGAGGGUGAUCGGCCACACUGGAACUGAGACACGGUCCAGACUCCUACGGGAGGCAGCAGUAGGGAAUCUUCCGCAAUGGACGAAAGUCUGACGGAGCAACGCCGCGUGAGUGAUGAAGGUUUUCGGAUCGUAAAACUCUGUUAUUAGGGAAGAACAAAUGUGUAAGUAACUGUGCACAUCUUGACGGUACCUAAUCAGAAAGCCACGGCUAACUACGUGCCAGCAGCCGCGGUAAUACGUAGGUGGCAAGCGUUAUCCGGAAUUAUUGGGCGUAAAGCGCGCGUAGGCGGUUUCUUAAGUCUGAUGUGAAAGCCCACGGCUCAACCGUGGAGGGUCAUUGGAAACUGGGAAACUUGAGUACAGAAGAGGAAAGUGGAAUUCCAUGUGUAGCGGUGAAAUGCGCAGAGAUAUGGAGGAACACCAGUGGCGAAGGCGACUUUCUGGUCUGUAACUGACGCUGAUGUGCGAAAGCGUGGGGAUCAAACAGGAUUAGAUACCCUGGUAGUCCACGCCGUAAACGAUGAGUGCUAAGUGUUAGGGGGUUUCCGCCCCUUAGUGCUGCAGCUAACGCAUUAAGCACUCCGCCUGGGGAGUACGACCGCAAGGUUGAAACUCAAA
RNAcentral lists this ribosomal RNA (790 nucleotides) under uncultured Staphylococcus sp. Its description in RNAcentral is "bacterial SSU rRNA". It matches the Rfam family "Bacterial small subunit ribosomal RNA", at positions 129 to 905 of the family's 1533-position model. Lineage: Bacteria; Bacillati; Bacillota; Bacilli; Caryophanales; Staphylococcaceae. The record is from RNAcentral.